Molecule: long non-coding RNA, 1346 nt
Filed under: Helianthus annuus (common sunflower)
Lineage: Eukaryota; Viridiplantae; Streptophyta; Magnoliopsida; Asterales; Asteraceae
Description: hypothetical non coding rna
Source: RNAcentral
GUAGUUCUUUGUUCUAGUAGUUUAGGUGGUUUUUUGGAUAACUUUCAAGUGGGGGAGACGGUUUCCUUACAUCGUCAGCAGAUCUACAUAACCUAACAAUCUCCCCUAGAUCUGUUAGAUCUGUUGAUGUUAAAAUCUCUCUAUUUAGGUCUGUCUUUUAUUCUGUUAUUUGCUGAUGCACAACAAUCUUUCCCUGAUCAUUCCUCUCAUGCCAUGUUCCAUAUUCAGUGCUUGAUCAUCAUCUUCAUCUUUUUCUAGUUCUAGAUCAACAAUGACUUUUUUGUCAUCUAGGCUAAAACUAAGAACAUCGUACCCAUCCACAUAGAUUCUAGAGCUAUCUUCUCUAAAUAUCUCUAUCUCAUUUGAGUCUUUCCUUACUUUCCAUCUCAUAAUCCUUGGGUUAGGGAGGAUUUGAGGCAGUUCUAAGAUUUCUGUGGGUUGAGGUGAAUCUGGCCUUAAAGACACUGUUACCCUUUAAUGUGCCACUAAUUGAGGUAGUAGAUCAUGUGGAUCUUCUUUUGGAGAUUCAUCCAUUGAAACUGUAUAGGUGCCAGCAGCUAUGUCUUGAGUUAUUCUAAACACGUGUAGUUUCAGGCAUUGAGUUUACAAGGAUCAUCUUUUCAUCUUCUUGUAAAUCUACUAUCCAUCUAGCAUAGCCAUGUUUUUCUUUAAGAUUGUUCAAGUAAUUAUCCAUGACUUUUGGAUUGUAGUAAAAGAUUUCAUUUGGCCUGAAUAGAACAACUGAUGUUCCUUCUUCUUUUGAGCAUAGUAGAUUUCACUAUUAUCCCAAUUUAAAGCAUGAAUAAGUUCUUACCUCAUCUUGAAGGUCCUUGUGGCAUCUUCUAGAGUUGGUUUUUUUUUCUACCAACUUCCAAUUUGGAGCAGUGGCCUUAAUGCUUAGAUCAGCCAACAUUUUCUUUACUCUUGCAACCUCAGCUGGUUAUCCUGGACAUCCCAAUUCUGGAAGACAUAGAAAUUCUUUAUUGGAUAAGCUUUCGAAAUGAUGCAAUAAAGUCUGGAGAAGGGGGAGGAUCUUCCGCUAUUUUGAGAACUGUCGGUGUUGUUGUUGUUGUGGCUCUUGAUGUUGGAGGAGAUGUUGAAGUUUCUUCUGCUUCAUCUUGUAGAAUCAACUUCCUUCUUUUUGAUGAUUGUACUAUUGGUUUCUUAGGAAGUGUUGAUUUUUGUGGAAAUGUUGGUUUUGUUACUACUGCUUUUGUGUCAAUAGUUGUGACAACUGCUAGUUCUAUGCUAGAAUGUGUCUUAGGAUUUGCAGAUCUUAUCUUGGUUGGUGGAACUGAUAUACCAGUAGUUUUGCCUAGUCCAAAUGUUUGGGUUUUUCCCCAGUU